This 336-nucleotide unclassified non-coding RNA is filed under the name Hevea brasiliensis (rubber tree). The record is from RNAcentral. Lineage: Eukaryota; Viridiplantae; Streptophyta; Magnoliopsida; Malpighiales; Euphorbiaceae.
AGCAUAUAGGUCCAGAAGGAAGCGAAGAUGUAAUACAUCUCAGUAAAAAUGCUUGCAAAGGGCAGAAGACCUCCCACCAGAGAAAUAACAUAUGGUCUUAGGUACCAUUUCUUCUCAGGGAUAGGACGCGGAAUAUUCUUAACACGGCAUGGAUUGUUUGGAGUACCACUCCAGUUUCUUCCGACAACAGUACCAAGGAGGGACAGAGGCAAGGAGAUAAAAGCCCAAAUAACAAGAACUACUACGAUUGUGCCAAGGGGAAUAGCAGCUAUGGAUCCAUAAAAUAUAGCAAUGGUGUUUAGAAUGAACCCUAUCCCAAAGCACAAAAAGGGGAAA